This 122-nucleotide small nucleolar RNA is filed under the name Lucilia cuprina (Australian sheep blowfly). Its description in RNAcentral is "small nucleolar RNA Me28S-Am2589". It matches the Rfam family "Small nucleolar RNA Me28S-Am2589". From Rfam's summary of the family: Me28S-Am2589 is a member of the C/D class of snoRNA which contain the C (UGAUGA) and D (CUGA) box motifs. Lineage: Eukaryota; Metazoa; Arthropoda; Insecta; Diptera; Calliphoridae. The record is from RNAcentral.
CUUAAUAUGAUGCUAAAUUGUCACUGACUUUGGUUAGAUUCAAGCUAUUUUUGUGAGAAUCUUGAUGUGCCAAAACUAAAAACAGGAUGUUCGCUUUUGCGAGGCAUUUGUCUGAUUGAGUU